CGAUUGUAGUCAUAUGCUUGUCUCAAAGAUUAAGCCAUGCAUGUCUAAGUAUAAGCAAUUAUACCGCGAAACUGCGAACGGCUCAUUAAAUCAGUUAUCGUUUAUUUGAUAGUACCUUACUACAUGGAUAACCGUGGUAAUUCUAGAGCUAAUACAUGCUAAAAAUCCCGACUUCGGAAGGGAUGUAUUUAUUAGAUUAAAAACCAAUGCCCUUCGGGGCUCUCUGGUGAUUCAUAAUAACUUCUCGAAUCGCACGGCCUUGCGCCGGCGAUGGUUCAUUCAAAUUUCUGCCCUAUCAACUUUCGACGGCUGGGUCUUGGCCAGCCAUGGUGACAACGGGUAACGGAGGGUUAGGGCUCGACCCCGGAGAAGGAGCCUGAGAAACGGCUACUACAUCCAAGGAAGGCAGCAGGCGCGCAAAUUACCCAAUCCCGACUCGGGGAGGUAGUGACAAUAAAUACUGAUACAGGGCUCUUUUGGGUCUUGUAAUUGGAAUGAGUACAAUUUAAAUCCCUUAACGAGGAACAAUUGGAGGGCAAGUCUGGUA
RNAcentral lists this ribosomal RNA (547 nucleotides) under uncultured eukaryote. RNAcentral describes it as "SSU rRNA". It matches the Rfam family "Eukaryotic small subunit ribosomal RNA", at positions 21 to 566 of the family's 1831-position model. The record is from RNAcentral.